Molecule: long non-coding RNA, 422 nt
Filed under: Salvia miltiorrhiza (redroot sage)
Lineage: Eukaryota; Viridiplantae; Streptophyta; Magnoliopsida; Lamiales; Lamiaceae
Description: long non-coding RNA (SMIL_LNC011135)
Source: RNAcentral
UUGUUUGCAGGUGGGAAGCUUUACUGGUAUUUCGGAUGUAUUAUUAUUUUCUUGGACUUGAAGAGUGAGGUGUUUGGAAGGAUUGAGAUUCCCUACAAAGAUAUUGGCUUUAAAAUGGACUACUUCGUGGGUGUGCUUGGUGGUUGCCUUUGCGUGCUAUAUUAUAAUCCUUCAUUUCCUGAUCGAAGAGGCCUUCGAGUUUCGAGAGUUUGUGUUAUGAAGGAGGCUUGGGAGGAAGUGGUGACUCUUUCUCAUCUUAAUGAGCUUCUUCAACCACCAUUGGUAAGUCUAAAUGGAGAGAUUUUGGUAGAUUGUGGAUCCACUUUGUUGGUUUACAGUGCCCAUGAUAAUGUCUUUCGAUUUACCAAGGUUUCUUCGGGUUUACGUUCAUAUGUCUAUGUUGAAAGUUUACUCUCGCCGGA